This 290-nucleotide unclassified non-coding RNA is filed under the name Hevea brasiliensis (rubber tree). The record is from RNAcentral. Lineage: Eukaryota; Viridiplantae; Streptophyta; Magnoliopsida; Malpighiales; Euphorbiaceae.
GAGGGCAGUAAUGUAAAUUAAAGGAAAACCAAACGCAAAAACCUUGCGAAAAUUUGAGUCCACCGACAGCCACCGGAAUAUAGAACCGACAAUUACCGGUAACUCAUAGGUACAGACUGUAAACAGCGGAAAAAGUAUUCAACUGUUGUCCCUAUCUAGACAAAAAAUGAUAAAUUGGAUAUUUUAUGAUCUCGUAGUUACACGCCAUUGAGCUCGCAUAAGAGUACGGCGCGUUUGUUGCAUGACUUCAGCUCUUAGUUAGCUCGAACUGCUGAGUGCUGAGAUCCUUC